Molecule: long non-coding RNA, 997 nt
Organism: Austrofundulus limnaeus
Lineage: Eukaryota; Metazoa; Chordata; Actinopteri; Cyprinodontiformes; Rivulidae
Exons: 2
Source: RefSeq, a predicted model, not a curated record
AGGUUACUACGUCAAACCCUGUUCAUGUUGAUGAGGAAGGACUGGCCACAUGUCUGUAGGUUACUACGUCAAACCCAGUUCGUGUUGAUGAGGAAGGACUGGUCACAUGUCUGUAGGUUACUACGUCAAACCCUGUUCAUGUUGAUGAGGAAGGACUGGUCACAUGUCUGUAGGUUACUACGUCAAACCCUGUUCAUGUUGAUGAGGAAGGACUGGCCACAUGUCUGUAGGUUACUACGUCAAACCCAGUUCAUGUUGAUGAGGAAGGACUGGUCACAUGUGUGUAGGUCACAUGUGUGUAGGUCACAUGUCUGUAGACCACAUGUCUGUAGGUUACUACGUCAAACCCAGUUCAUGUUGAUGAGGAAGGACUGGUCACAUGUCUGUGGACCACAUGUCUGUAGGUCACAUGUGUGUAGGUCACAUGUCUGUAGGUUACUACGUCAAACCCAGUUCAUGUUGAUGAGGAAGGACUGGUCACAUGUGUGUAGGUCACAUGUCUGUAGGUCACAUGUGUGUAGGUCACAUGUGUGUAGGUUACUACGUCAAACCCAGUUCAUGUUGAUGAGGAAGGACUGGCCACAUGUCUGUAGGUUGCUACGUCAAACCCAGUUCAUGUUGAUGAGGAAGGACUGGUCACAUGUCUGUAGGUCACAUGUCUGUAGGUCACGUCUGUAGGUCACAUGUCUGUAGGCCACAUGUCUGUAGGUUGCUACGUCAAACCCAGUUCAUGUUGAUGAGGAAGGACUGGUCACAUGUCUGUAGGUCACAUGUCUGUAGGCCACAUGUCUGUAGGUUACUACGUCAAUCCCAGUUCAUGUUGAUGAGGAAGGACUGGUCACAUGGUCACUUGUAGAGCUCACGUCUGUAGUGGUCACGUUCUUCUUGUCUUCUCAGGUAUUCUUCUACUGUCAUUUCAGGUGCAUGCUCUCCGCUCAUAUUCACGUCAUAAAAAUUUUUUAACUUCUGUAAAUAAAUUAGCCAUCUUUCUGCCAGA